RNAcentral lists this RNase MRP RNA (488 nucleotides) under Diaporthe helianthi. Its description in RNAcentral is "RNase MRP". It matches the Rfam family "RNase MRP". From Rfam's summary of the family: RNase MRP is an enzymatically active ribonucleoprotein with two distinct roles in eukaryotes. In mitochondria it plays a direct role in the initiation of mitochondrial DNA replication. The record is from Rfam by way of RNAcentral. Lineage: Eukaryota; Fungi; Ascomycota; Sordariomycetes; Diaporthales; Diaporthaceae.
CCCUCGCCCGACAAAUCGCCAUCGAAGCUUCAAACGGAAAUGCUCUCAGGAGCGUCUCAUGCACCUUGCUUCGGGAGAAAGUCCCCGGACAGUCUUCCUUUUCAUGAAGGGAGAAUGCCGAAAGGCGCCGCCAUAGAAGCACCAAGCGGCUGAUCUCUGCCUUCCCCCGUCCCCUUGUCCGGCUUGCCUGCCCUGCCUCGCCGCUACAUCUUUCUGGUUUUGUGCUCGUGGUCUCAGUGGCCGGCCUGGCUCGAUGUGUCACACGGACGAAGAUAUGAGUCCGACACGCAGAGACGGGUCCUGCCUCUCUGGGGCUUCUGGGCGCGGCCGUUCGAUGGCGGGGUGGACGUGAUGUGCGGCCUAGUGCUGGGGGCGCUCUGUGGGGAGGGCUGGAGAACAUUUCGUCGGGAUAUCACAGGUAUGCGAUUGUCCCAUGUCAGGCUCUGCCUGGCUGGGUUUACUCGAUGGGGCUCAUUCUUGGUGCGAGG